RNAcentral lists this transfer RNA (85 nucleotides) under Betaproteobacteria bacterium ADurb.Bin341. RNAcentral describes it as "tRNA-Leu". It matches the Rfam family "tRNA". Rfam says of the family: Transfer RNA (tRNA) molecules are approximately 80 nucleotides in length. Their secondary structure includes four short double-helical elements and three loops (D, anti-codon, and T loops). Further hydrogen bonds mediate the characteristic L-shaped molecular structure. tRNAs have two regions of fundamental functional importance: the anti-codon, which is responsible for specific mRNA codon recognition, and the 3' end, to which the tRNAs corresponding amino acid is attached (by aminoacyl-tRNA synthetases). tRNAs cope with the degeneracy of the genetic code in two manners: having more than one tRNA (with a specific anti-codon) for a particular amino acid; and 'wobble' base-pairing, i.e. permitting non-standard base-pairing at the 3rd anti-codon position. The record is from RNAcentral. Lineage: Bacteria; Pseudomonadati; Pseudomonadota; Betaproteobacteria.
GCGGACGUGGCGGAAUUGGUAGACGCACCAGAUUUAGGUUCUGACGCUGUAAGGCGUGCGAGUUCGAGUCUCGCCGUCCGCACCA